RNAcentral lists this ribosomal RNA (253 nucleotides) under uncultured bacterium. RNAcentral describes it as "partial 16S ribosomal RNA". It matches the Rfam family "Bacterial small subunit ribosomal RNA", at positions 524 to 776 of the family's 1533-position model. The record is from RNAcentral.
UACGUAGGGGGCAAGCGUUGUCCGGAUUUAUGGGGCGUAAAGAGCGUGUAGGCGGCUUUACAGGUCCGUUGUGAAAACUCGAGGCUCAACCUCGAGACGCCGGUGGAAACCGUAAAGCUAGAGUCCGGAAGAGGAGAGUGGAAUUCCUGGUGUAGCGGUGAAAUGCGCAGAUAUCAGGAAGAACACCCGUGGCGAAGGCGGCUCUCUGGGACGGUACUGACGCUGAGACGCGAAAGCGUGGGGAGCGAACAGG